GAAUNUUGGGCAAUGGGNGAAANCCUGACCCAGCGACGCCGCGUGGAGGAUGAAGGCCUUCCGGUUGUAAACUCCUGGNAGGUGGGAAGAAAAGNNNCNNGGNUAAUACCCNGGAGGAUUUGGNGGNCCCCCCAAAGGAAGCCCCGGCUAACUCCGUGCCAGCAGCCGCGGUAAUACGGAGGGGGCAAGCGUUAUUCGGAUUUACUGGGCGUAAAGCGCGCGUAGGUGGCAUGGUAAGUCAAAGGUGAAAUCCCUCGGCUCAACCGAGGAACUGCCUUUGAAACUGCCUGGCUUGAGUCCGGGAGGGGGGAGCGGAAUUCCCAGUGUAGCGGUGAAAUGCGUAGAUAUUGGGAGGAACACCGGUGGCGAAGGCGGCUCCCUGGACCGGUACUGACGCUGAGGCGCGAAAGCGUGGGUAGCAAACAGGAUUAGAUACCCUGGUAGUCCACGCYGUAAACGAUGGGCACUMGGUGCAGCGGGURUCGACCCCUGCUGUGCCGUAGCUAACGCAUUAAGUGCCCCGCC
RNAcentral lists this ribosomal RNA (525 nucleotides) under uncultured bacterium. RNAcentral describes it as "partial 16S ribosomal RNA". It matches the Rfam family "Bacterial small subunit ribosomal RNA", at positions 359 to 873 of the family's 1533-position model. The record is from RNAcentral.